CUUAAUUUGACUCAACCGGGAAAACUCACCAGGUCCAGACAUGGUAAGGAUUGACAGAUUGAGAGCUCUUUCUUGAUUCCAUGAAAGGUGGCGCAUGGCCGUUCUUAGUUGGUGGAGUGAUUUGUCUGGUUAAUUCCGUUAACGAACGAGACCUUGACCUGCUAACUAGUCACAGUAAAUGCUUUUGUGUUUGCUGGCUGAUCUUCUUAGAGGGACAAUCUGUGUUUCCAGCAGAUGGAAGUGCGAGGCAAUAA
Molecule: ribosomal RNA, 254 nt
Filed under: uncultured marine eukaryote
Lineage: Eukaryota
Description: partial 18S ribosomal RNA
Rfam family: Eukaryotic small subunit ribosomal RNA
Source: RNAcentral